Molecule: long non-coding RNA, 549 nt
Organism: Oncorhynchus tshawytscha (Chinook salmon)
Lineage: Eukaryota; Metazoa; Chordata; Actinopteri; Salmoniformes; Salmonidae
Source: Ensembl
UGUCCUGGGCGAGACAACAGCAGCGCGUCUGGGAAGGUCUUCCGCUGCUUUAGUGUAUGUAGUGAAUGCAAACACAACAGCGUGCGUUCUGGGAAUUACGACGUUCUAAGAGUGAAAUAGUGAUUAUUUUCUGACUGUUCCCUCUUCGUCGAUACACUUGCUGGAAUUUUGGAUUAUUUCUCUCGGAAAUAUUUUGCGGGAUUAAUUUGUGAGAAGGUACUCAGCCAGUUGGAAGGAAGAAUUCAGCCCACACCACCUCCAUCUCGGAACCAUUCAGAAUCUUGUUCUGAUUUGGAUUUCUACUCAAUCUCCUGGUCUGGAUGUUCACUCUGUACCGGUUUGGCUCAUCGAAUCCCACCGCCUUUGUUGGAUGAUUCAGAAGCUGAGGACAAUGACUCAACACACCUCCAGGCUGUGUAAGGGCUAUUUGACCAAGAAGGAGAGUGAUGGAGUGCUGCAUCCAGAUGAAAUGGCCUCCACAAUCACCUGACCUCAACCCAAUUGAGAUGGUUUGGGAUGAGUUGGACUGCAGAGUGAAGGAAAAGCAGC